RNAcentral lists this ribosomal RNA (155 nucleotides) under uncultured bacterium. RNAcentral describes it as "partial 16S ribosomal RNA". It matches the Rfam family "Bacterial small subunit ribosomal RNA", at positions 355 to 507 of the family's 1533-position model. The record is from RNAcentral.
UGAGGAAUAUUGGUCAAUGGAGGCAACUCUGAACCAGCCAUGCCGCGUGCAGGAUGACGGUCCUAUGGAUUGUAAACUGCUUUUAUACGGGAAGAAAACGAGUUACGUGUAACUAACUGACGGUACCGUAAGAAUAAGGAUCGGCUAACUCCGUG